AUUAGAGUUUGAUCCUGGCUCAGAUUGAACGCUGGCGGCAGGCUUAACACAUGCAAGUCGAGCGGUAACAGGAAUUAGCUUGCUAAUUUGCUGACGAGCGGCGGACGGGUGAGUAACGCGUAGGAAUCUGCCUGGUAGUGGGGGACAACAUGUGGAAACGCAUGCUAAUACCGCAUACGCCCUACGGGGGAAAGGAGGGGAUCUUCGGACCUUUCGCUAUCAGAUGAGCCUGCGUGAGAUUAGCUAGUUGGUGGGGUAAAGGCUCACCAAGGCGACGAUCUCUAGCUGGUCUGAGAGGAUGAUCAGCCACACUGGGACUGAGACACGGCCCAGACUCCUACGGGAGGCAGCAGUGGGGAAUAUUGCACAAUGGGCGCAAGCCUGAUGCAGCCAUGCCGCGUGUGUGAAGAAGGCCUUCGGGUUGUAAAGCACUUUCAGUAAGGAGGAAAGGUUGGAUGUUAAUAGCAUUCAGCUGUGACGUUACUUACAGAAGAAGCACCGGCUAACUCCGUGCCAGCAGCCGCGGUAAUCUACCAGCACACGCGAGGCCUUUCCC
Molecule: ribosomal RNA, 556 nt
Filed under: uncultured Marinomonas sp.
Lineage: Bacteria; Pseudomonadati; Pseudomonadota; Gammaproteobacteria; Oceanospirillales; Oceanospirillaceae
Description: bacterial SSU rRNA
Rfam family: Bacterial small subunit ribosomal RNA
Source: RNAcentral